GCCUGGGUGGCUCAGUGGGUUAAGUGUCUGACUUCGGCUCAGGUCACGAUCUCACGGUUCGUGGGUUCAAGCCCUGUUUCAGGCU
RNAcentral lists this transfer RNA (85 nucleotides) under Felis catus (domestic cat). It matches the Rfam family "tRNA". Rfam says of the family: Transfer RNA (tRNA) molecules are approximately 80 nucleotides in length. The record is from Rfam by way of RNAcentral. Lineage: Eukaryota; Metazoa; Chordata; Mammalia; Carnivora; Felidae.